Long non-coding RNA from Bos grunniens (domestic yak), 2251 nucleotides. The record is from Ensembl. NCBI's taxonomy places the organism in Eukaryota, Metazoa, Chordata, Mammalia, Artiodactyla, Bovidae.
CUAGUCACUGCUCCUAAUUCUGCUCCUUCAGGAUCCCAUGUGAAAACCCAACUAUUGAUGGCGUCAUCCGAAUUGGCUCCUGCCCUCAGCAGGCUAAUUGUGUAGGCUGGCAACUGCAGAGAGAAACCCACAUCUCCCAGCCACCCCUUCCAUUGCCACCCUCCUCCACCCCUCACCAACCCUUCCGGCCCUUUCAGCAGAUGGCUGCUCACACAGCAUGUUCUUUUCUGUGGAAAAUCCUUAAGAAGCCCAGAGGCAAAGGAUGCUCAAAAAAAUUAUGUUUGCCAGUGGCGUUCUCUUUGCAGACUGUGGACCAGACUCAGUAAGGGAUACUCAGUGGGAGAAAUGAGCUGGGAGUCAUCAGGACAUGUUGCUGAGUUGCUGUGUGACUCUGGGUCAUCCAAGGACAGAAGACUCAGUUUCUUCUCCACUGACUUCCAGAAGCCUCCCACAUUUCCGCUUCCAGUUACCUGGUCCUGUUCCCUAUUUCUUCCUGGAGGAAUCAUUCCUAAGCCUAGGAUGGUCAGACACAUGAAGUUAAGAACAGCUGAUUCAGGACUUCCGUGUUGGUCCAGUGGUUAAGAAUCCGCCUGCCAAUGCAGGAGGCAUGAAUUCAAUCCCUGUUUUGGGAAGAUCCCACAUGCCAUGGAGCAACUAAGCCCGUGUGCCAACAGCUACUGAGCCCAUGCUCUAGAUCCCAUAUACCACAACUACUGAAGCCCUAGAGUGCCCUAGAGCCCAUGAUCCGCAAGAAGAGAAGCCAUUGCCACAAUGAGAAGCCCAAGCACUACAACUAAAGAAAGGCUGCGAGUAGCAAUGAUGACCUAGUGCAGAAGACCAAAUAAAUAAGGAGACCCAAAUAAAUAAAUAAAUGAACAUCCAAAUAAAAAUUUUAAAUAUAUGUUAAAAGAAAAAAAAAGAAUAGCUGAUUCAAAUAUUCCCCAGCCUAACUCACUCUCUCCCUGCCAAUCUCCUCUCCACAACUACAACACCCUCACAUCCAGUUUUGUUCUCCACAAAUCCAUCCUCUAUGUGUUGGUCAUAGCAAUCUUUUUUUUUUUUUGGCUGUGCUGGGUCUUAGUUGUAGCACGAAGGAUCGUCAGUCUUCAUUGAGGCAUGUGGACUGUUUAGUUAUAGCAUGAGAAGUCUUAGUUGUGGCAUGUGGGUUCUAGUUCUCUGACCAGGAAUCAAACCCAGGCCCCCUGCAUUGGGAGUACAGAGUCUUAUCCACUGGACCACCAGGGAAGUCCCCACUGCAAUCUUUAAAAAACACACACCCAAGUCACCCUCCUGCAUAGAGUCAGACAGAGACUGGCUAUUGCCCUUGGAGCAAAGUGCAAACUCUGACCAGGGGGAGCGGGUGUUGUAGGCCCUGUUAACUUGUCCAUCCUUCUGUGUCCACACUGGUUCCCUCAACCCUCCAACUCAACAGUCCAGCAGCACAGACCGCGUUUUAUGUUUGGGUUUCCUGGCCUGUACCGGAGUGGUUUCUCCUGUCUAUAUUUAUGCAGUGCCCUCUGCCUGGGAUGCCAGCCCUCUCCUCUGCACCUAGAAACUCCUAUUCUGUCUUUAAGCCUCAGCUUAGAUAUCCCCUUGGGGUUAGGGGCCCCUUCUUUCUCCCCUAGGCUGUGCCUGCCCCAGACAAUGUGCAGAAGACACUGAACCAUAGUUGCUUGAUUACCAGCCUCUCUCUUUCCUGCGAGCUUUGAGGGCAGCUGCCACAUCUUAUAUAUCCCGCAGUCCUAGCCUAAGCGCUUGUCGAAGGUAUGGCGCUCAAUAACUAUUCAAUGAAUGAAUGAACGAUGACAAAUAGCAUCGGUUCAUGUGUUCUAAAAAGAUUUGUGAAAUGAUUAAAUGAGUGGGUAAGUGGAAGUUCGAGUCUAGAGAGAGCUGAAUAGGAUGUUCAGAGAUGAGUAAAACCCGAUCGCAGCUGUCACACAGCUAAGAGGAAGACAAAUACCUUCAAGGAGCGAGUCUGAAGGAUUUAAGAGGGAGGCGUUCUAAUCUUAGGCAGCCCAGGGGGUGUUUCCGGAUCCGACUCCCGCCCUCCCCGCCAAUAGGCGGUCUCAAUGCCUCCCAGGCCUCCUCCCUUUUCACCCGCCGAGGCGGGGCCGGCCACCUUUGGAGAUAAGACUACGCUUCCCGGCGUGCCGCGCGGCGAGCGGAGGAGGAGCCGGAAGUGGGGGGUGCGAGGUCUAAGGGCACAAGGGAAGUGGCGGGCGGGGACUGAGGGGGGCGUGCAGGUGAACGG